ACUCCUACGGGAGGCAGCAGUGGGAAUAUUGGACAAUGGGGGAACCCUGAUCCAGCCAUGCCGCGUGUGUGAAGAAGGCCUUAUGGUUGUAAAGCACUUUAAGCGAGGAGGAGGCUACUGAGACUAUACUCUUGGAUAGUGGACGUUACUCGCAGAAUAAGCNCCGGCUAACUACGUGCCAGCAGCCGCGGUAAUACGUAGGGUGCAAGCGUUGUCCGGAAUUAUUGGGCGUAAAGAGCUCGUAGGCGGUUUGUCACGUCUGCUGUGAAAAUCCAAGGCUCAACCUUGGACUUGCAGUGGGUACGGGCAGGCUAGAUGCGGUAGGGGAGAUGGGAAUUCCUGGGUGUAGCGGUGGAAUGCGCAGAUAUCAGGAGGAACACCAAUGGCGAAGGCANAUCUCUGGGCCGUAACUGACGCUGAGGAGCGAAAGCGUGGGGAGC
This 440-nucleotide ribosomal RNA is filed under the name uncultured bacterium. Its description in RNAcentral is "bacterial SSU rRNA". It matches the Rfam family "Bacterial small subunit ribosomal RNA", at positions 335 to 769 of the family's 1533-position model. The record is from RNAcentral.